GGUAGAAUGGCUGAGGAAUAGGCGGUAAAUUGUAAAUUUAUUUAGGGGAGUGAAUCUCUUCUACCA
RNAcentral lists this transfer RNA (66 nucleotides) under Poecilimon cretensis. RNAcentral describes it as "tRNA-Tyr". Lineage: Eukaryota; Metazoa; Arthropoda; Insecta; Orthoptera; Tettigoniidae. The record is from RNAcentral.